AGUACAACUUAAAUCCUUUAACGAGGAUCCAUUUGAGGGCAAGUCUGGUGCCAGCAGCCGCGGUCAUUCCAGCUCCAAUAGCGUAUAUUAAAGUUGUUGCAGUUAAAAGCUCGUAGUUGGAUUUCGGGAUGG
This 132-nucleotide ribosomal RNA is filed under the name uncultured Symbiodinium. RNAcentral's name for it is "partial Eukaryotic small subunit ribosomal RNA". It matches the Rfam family "Eukaryotic small subunit ribosomal RNA", at positions 517 to 649 of the family's 1831-position model. Lineage: Eukaryota; Dinophyceae; Suessiales; Symbiodiniaceae. The record is from RNAcentral.